This 785-nucleotide long non-coding RNA is filed under the name Brassica napus (rape). RNAcentral describes it as "long non-coding RNA (BNAP_LNC007841)". Lineage: Eukaryota; Viridiplantae; Streptophyta; Magnoliopsida; Brassicales; Brassicaceae. The record is from RNAcentral.
CUUUCGAACCCGUGCGCAUGAGACAAAAUAGAAGAGCAUAAGCAACUGGACCUAAGAGAACCUUUAGAGUUUGGUGCCCCUACAAAAUACAUAUUUUAGCGUUUAAAGUUCUAGCUUUAUGCCAAGGUCGGACCUUCCGACACAGAACGGUGGACGCAGAGACACCGGAGAAAUGAGGAGACCCCAUCACAUCGCAAGACGACACCGCCAAUACUGUACUCCAACCUAGCUACCCCUAGCAGCCCGUAGCCCACCACCACAUGGCAAGACAGUGGUUUCACCGUCGAUUUAGCACCCUCCUACUGGAGGAGAGAUGAUUUUAUCUCUGUAACUGAGAAAGAUGCGGUACCUUGGAAGCGGCUGCUAUUCGGAGAAUUAAGAAUGAAAUUUUAUGUAAGACUGGCAAAUAAGAACGGUGUGAUAUACAUGUAGGUAUUAUUAAAUACUAUAUAUUUUUCAAAAAAUAUAUACUUCUUAUGUUUUAGAAAAAAGUUAGUUUUAUAAAAAUAGAUUUUUUUGUGUGUUUUCUAUGAACAAGUUGUGAACUUCGAAAAGAAUAGUUUACUUUAUUGAAUUAAUAUUAUUAAAAUUUAUUAGAAAUUAAAAAUCCCAUAAAAUGAUGUAUUUAUUAUAGUUAUUUUGAUAAAAAAUUUAAAUAUAUGUGAAAAUAACCAAAAAAAAUAUAUUUGUGGAAUGGAGGGAAUAGUACUUAAAAAAAACAGCUUAUACUGAAAAUCAGUUCCAUAAUUUUAAAUAGUUUCGAAACAAACCUUAAUGAAAUACUC